RNAcentral lists this ribosomal RNA (274 nucleotides) under uncultured bacterium. RNAcentral describes it as "partial 16S ribosomal RNA". It matches the Rfam family "Bacterial small subunit ribosomal RNA", at positions 523 to 796 of the family's 1533-position model. The record is from RNAcentral.
AUACGGAGGGCGCAAGCGUUGUUCGGAAUCAUUGGGCGUAAAGCGCGUGUAGGCGGCUUGGUAAGUCGGAUGUGAAAGCCCGGGGCUCAACCCCGGAAUUGCAUUCGAAACUGCCCAGCUAGAGUCUCGGAGAGGAGGGCGGAAUUCCCGGUGUAGAGGUGAAAUUCGUAGAUAUCGGGAGGAACACCAGUGGCGAAGGCGGCCCUCUGGACGAUGACUGACGCUGAGACGCGAAAGCGUGGGGAGCAAACAGGAUUAGAAACCCCAGUAGUCC